UUUUUUUUUUUUCUCACUAGCUGUUGUGCUGUACUUGCUUGGGGAAGAAAAAAGAGCAAAAUCCAACCCAAGAAAAAGAUUUAAUUGCAAGAGAAGUGAAACACAAACUUAAAGACUGCAAGGUCUAGUUACCCCAGAAGAGAAUUACAGUGAUGUGCACUUCAAAUGCCUGUCUCAGAGAUUGCCCAACACAUGGUAUCAUGACAUUUGAAAAUAUCCAAGUUCAGUGUCUCCAAAUGACAUCAAAAUGAACUGGGACAGGGAUCAGGAAAUGCCUAAAGUUACCUGACAGGAGGUGCCAAGAGCAGGGAUAUCUGAAUCCCAUAAUUCUUCAAAACCUCAGUUGCUACUUUUUUUUCCUCUUGUGUGGCACCUUGUUUCUCACAAGAGUAUUUGAUCAGUGCUUAACCUGGACUAAGAUCAAAGGUGUUCCUCAGCCUGUGCAAUGUCAGAUGUACCACCCAGCUGGCUAAACAAGGACCUCACACUGCGGGAGAUGCUCUCCCCAGUAGUCCUGGACUGGCUGCAUUGCUAAGCAGCCUCACUGAUUUCUAAAGACUGUGUCACGAUUCAGCACAUGGGGUCUGAAGGAGGAUGGCCAUUCUAUGUACAGAGGGCAAUGGAUAAAAGAAGUGGAAAAGGAAGAAGGAAAGAAGUUGAAAAAAUUGAUGGAGCACAGGGACAGGAGGACAGAGGAAAAAAAGGAAAGUGAGGGGAGCUGCAAUUUAAUUAGUAUGCUGACUCUGAAGAGCCCUUUCAAAACAAAUCAAGCUUGCAAUAGCAAGAAUCAGAGUCAUAGACUAUCAGUGCAAGUAACAGAUGAAUCUCCCAGGAAACCCCUGUUAAGAACUGAGUGGAGCAUUGCUAAGGGCUUAUGCAAGUGUUCCUCUGCAGAAUCAGGCCAGAUUCCCACCUGAAGGUUCAAGGAUGGCCUUUUCUGCAUCUGUGUUCUGAGUCUGUUGGAGAAGCUGUCCAUACAGCUGCUCAGUACUGCUGCUGCCUAGCACUGUGCAUCGGCCUCCACAUCAACUGUGUAGUGAUUUUAGUGCCAUUUCUGAAAUCUCAGAAGAAACAACUUCCUGGCCUAAAUAAACUUUUGUUUAAAAAAGAUAACA
Molecule: long non-coding RNA, 1115 nt
Filed under: Cyanistes caeruleus (blue tit)
Lineage: Eukaryota; Metazoa; Chordata; Aves; Passeriformes; Paridae
Description: lncRNA (ENSCCEG00000018309.1)
Source: RNAcentral